GCUAAUAUAGCAUAAUCUGGCUUUGCUAAAGAUCUAAGCCCUUUCCAUAGAAGUUCAAAUCUUCUUAUUAGCU
RNAcentral lists this transfer RNA (73 nucleotides) under Anomaloglossus megacephalus. Its description in RNAcentral is "tRNA-Leu". It matches the Rfam family "tRNA". From Rfam's summary of the family: Transfer RNA (tRNA) molecules are approximately 80 nucleotides in length. The record is from RNAcentral. Lineage: Eukaryota; Metazoa; Chordata; Amphibia; Anura; Aromobatidae.